ACAGUUUUUGAGAAGUGAUGGUAUCCUAGUGGUAUUUCCUUCUCACAUAUGAGUGCCAGAGGUCUCGAGUUCGAGUCUCUCUGUCACCACGGUGAACUGAACCUCUCCAAAUAAAAACUCCUCCAUACGAGUAGGGACAAGCAGUGUAUACUAACCCGUAGGUCCAGGCUGGAGGUGGGGUUUUUCCUGGAUAUGAGGCCGCUUUGCGGUGGGGUCUGUCACUAUAAAAAGUUUACUCUAACAGUUUUUAAACCAAGUGGUCGUGGUCUAGUGGCUUUCACUUGAAGAGGAGUCGCCCUGUUGGUCCAGGCCAGGGAUCGAUUCCCCUCAAGCGCGAAAGUGCUAAUCAUUUCCAUUUGGCCAGGGGCUUUCACCUGGUCUUCCCCGGACCCUGGGGGAAUUAAGGGCUUCAGCCCCGAACCUCCUGGUUAUCAAAAAAAA
This 441-nucleotide long non-coding RNA is filed under the name Arabidopsis lyrata. RNAcentral's name for it is "long non-coding RNA (ALYR_LNC002094)". The record is from RNAcentral. Lineage: Eukaryota; Viridiplantae; Streptophyta; Magnoliopsida; Brassicales; Brassicaceae.